CCCGGCACAAGCGGUGAGCAUGUGGUUUAAUUCGACGUAACGCGAAGAACCUUACCAGGGCUUGACAUCUUCUGACUGCUUAAGGAACUUAAGCCUUCCGGGAGUUUACUUUCCGGACAGAAAGACAGGUGGUGCAUGGUUGUCGUCAGCUCGUGUCGUGAGAUGUUGGGUUAAGUCCCGCAACGAGCGCAACCCUUGUCUUUAGUUACCAUCAUUCAGUUGGGGACUCUAGAGAGACUGCCGGUGAUAAACCGGAGGAAGGUGGGGAUGACGUCAAAUCAUCAUGCCCCUUAUGACCUGGGCUACACACGUACUACAAUGGCGCAUACAACGAGCUGCGAGAUGGUGACAUCAAGCGAAUCUCUUAAAAUGCGUCUCAGUUCAGAUUGGAGUCUGCAACUCGACUCCAUGAAGUCGGAAUCGCUAGUAAUCGCGGAUCAGCAUGCCGCGGUGAAUACGUUCUCGGGGUUU
This 471-nucleotide ribosomal RNA is filed under the name uncultured Erysipelothrix sp. RNAcentral's name for it is "bacterial SSU rRNA". It matches the Rfam family "Bacterial small subunit ribosomal RNA", at positions 919 to 1382 of the family's 1533-position model. Lineage: Bacteria; Bacillati; Bacillota; Erysipelotrichia; Erysipelotrichales; Erysipelotrichaceae. The record is from RNAcentral.